UGACCAGUUUGUCAUUCGAAAGACUACCUUAGCCAUUCAUAGUUGCUCCAUUUUAUCAGCAAAAAUAAACUGCCUUUAAAGUAGAGGUGCGCUGUAGACAGAAGACAGAAUCCACGGCUGUGUAUUGGAGCAAAGGGAGAAUUCCCAAAUUCAGGUCCGAAGAGAGGGAAUGAAGAAUCGAUCUUUCAGAGCAUUUCAGUCUGUAAUGCUGUUAGGGUUUCCACCCUUCGGACGAGCUGAAUUUAAAUCAAAAGCACGAAGAGGCCAUCAUGCAGUCGGCCUAUUGGUCUGUAGUUUAUUUACUUUAUUUUUUUUUCUUCCUUACAAAAUGUAAAGGAACUCCAGGACUGGAUGUUUAAAGUGUGUUAGAAACCACCUGUAUCUCAGAGGCUCGUUAGGAGCGGGGAAAACCACAUGGCGAUUAUGGAUAUUAUGGAAUCGACACGUGCAGAAAUGGCCAUGUUUUGGAUUUUAAAGUGACACCAAGUCACCUAAACAAGAGAAAACGACCCAAGAAAAAUAUUGGCUUCCCAAUUCGGCCCCUUCCCACCUCCCCCACCCCUCCCCUCCCCUUAGGGCGCCCUGAACAGAAUCUGCUUUCAGAGUCUCACGUACACAAAUUUGAGGAAGGGGGAUGUGGUUAAUCCCCGUGCGUGACGUAAAAUCGGGUUAAUCCCGGAGUUACAGAAUGAAUCAAUAAAAGUUCCACCACACCCCAUUAUCCCUUCCCUCUCCCGAAACCUCAGCAGAGGUACUGGGGAGGGAAAAGGGAGGAAAAGCCGAAAGAAAACAGGUCGUUCGGAACGGAUUGGGGCAUAGGUUUUAAUCUCUUUACACCUUCGUGCUACAUUUAGUUCCAACAAUCCAACGCCCACGGUUACAAUCAACCCCGCGGCCCGGGCUGGGGAGUUAGUCAUUCCCAGAAGUUGUGGCUCUUCCUGGGGGAGGGGGAGAAGGGGGCAGGCGAAAAAUGGGGGGUUCUUGGCCACGGGAUCGAUGAGCAAGGGAAGGCUCGGGGUGUCCGGGGCGUGCAGAGCCACCGGGGCCGCCCCUGCCAGGGACCUGUGCGGCGGCGGCUUUAGCGGCUGGUCCUGCUGGGUGCGGGGCGUCCCGGACGCUGGGGUCCCGCUGGGAUUCCCGCUGGGGUCCCCGCUGGGAUCCCCGCUGGGAUCCCGCUGGGAUUCCCGCUGGCUCCGUCGGAUCCCGCUGGGAUCCCGCCGGGCGCCUGGCUGCUGUUGGCCUUUUGAAUGCCUCCCGCAGGUCGGAGGGCUGGCGGGGCGCUGCGAGGAUCCACAUGACGCCAUUUACUGCUGCUGCUGCUGCUGCUGCUGCUCUUGCACAGAGAUCCCUGCCUCGUCCGGAAAGAAGAGAGCAGAAAGCGCCGAUCCCCCUCGGCUCCCAGCUCAGACCCUCCUCCUCCUCCUCCUCCACCACCCUCCUCCCUCCUCACCUCCUCCUCCUCCUCCUCCAGCACCAGCAGCACCAGCACCUCUGCCACCUCCUCUUCGUCGUCGUCUUCCUCCUCCUCCUGCAAAGAGAGAAGGAGCAGCAGGAGGUCCCGCGGCCGGCCGCCCCUCCGGAACGCGCCCGGGCUGCAAUCCGCAGCAGAGGCGGGGGCUUGGAGAGGGCGAGCGGAGGGGCGAGCGGGCGAGCAGCCCCCGCAGCAGCAGCAGCAGCAGCAGCAGGAGCAGGAGCAGGACCAGCCCGGCCCCCGCCGCCACCGCCUCGUCCGGGCGGGACCGCCCGCCCCCCGCGCCCCGGCCGCCUCUAGACCACUUUUCGGGAAGGAAACUCGGGGAUCGCGGUUUCACCUCCUUUUGUCGCCCGCUUUCCUCUCUCGGUCCUCCGACCCCCACCCCAGGCGGCGUGGGGGGGGGGGGGGGGGGAGGAGAGGGGAGGGUGAGAGAGGAGGAAGAGGAGGAGGGGGAGCGUCCAGCCUCCUGCUCAUUGAGAGAAAGAGGAAAUACUCCGGGCUCUGUUUUCUUCUUUCAGAAGGAGAAAAAGACACCCCCCCCCCCCCCGCCCCCAGCCCCGACCCGGAGGGGUGAUUAG
RNAcentral lists this long non-coding RNA (2052 nucleotides) under Ornithorhynchus anatinus (platypus). RNAcentral's name for it is "lncRNA (ENSOANG00000038020.1)". Lineage: Eukaryota; Metazoa; Chordata; Mammalia; Monotremata; Ornithorhynchidae. The record is from RNAcentral.